UGCCAAGAGAGUGAGGAAGUGAUCACCCAGGGACCACAGCAUUAUCAAAGCGCCUGCUCAAAGCACCGGCUCGGUGCCAUCGGUGCCAAUUCAGAACCACUCCCUCUCCUCUCAAAGUCCACAUGGAAAAGGCCCAAACAGAUCCACCACCCUCCACCAUCCCCAAGUUGCUCUCUGCUCCCGUUACUCAGCCAAAUCCAUAGAACAUGUAUGUCUUCAGGUGGAACUGCAGAUGCGAUCUAAUAAGAGAGAAAGGGAGGGAUGAUGGGAAAGAAGAAGAAUGGAGCAGAAAUAGAGUUGGGAAGAGUCAUCAAAAUAUCCACCAAUUAAAACCACAAAAAAAAAAGUGUCUUCUCACGAAGUAAGAUGAGCAUAGGGAAGAAAUCACUUCUUGGACACUGAAGUGCAGCAUCUCGGGUUCAAGCUUGUUAUUCAAGCUCUUUUUUUUUUUUUUUAUCACCCUGACCUUUUGUCUUUCUUCCAAACCGCCUCCACUCUGUGGGCCCCUAAUGUGGCAGCCCCUUAUGUGGCCUCCGCAGCUAGUGGAAUUUGAAAGGUAUACCCCAAUAGCUGGGCUAGUGGAAUUUGAAAGGUAUACCCCAACAGCUGGGCUUUUGAUGUGGGCUGCUCGCUCGGCUUUCUUACCUGCUUUUCAAGCCAGUCUCAGCUAUGUUUUUUUUUUUUUUUUUCUUCAUCAGACCGAUUUUCUGUUUGUUCUUUAGGUCUCCCAGGAGAAGGGCAAAACAUGAUAAGUCUCUGCUGCCUUCUUCCAUCACGUGACAGAAAAAUCUCAGACGGAGAGGAGGCGGGAGGAUAAGAUAGAGGCGUCAGUGGAGGAAGACCGGAGAUAAUGCUCCAAGUGCCACGCCACAGAUCGUGCCCACAGAGGAAGAAAAAAACCCUCUGGACUUCAGCUAUGGCUCUGAGGGUAAAGUCCAGAGGUCUUUUCAGGAAUUUAAUCCGCAGAUUAAUGACAUUCUUUGCAAAGUGGCUUUUGCAUGAAGUCCCACCCCUAGCUGAGGAGCUACUGGCUGCUGGGGAAGAUGUGGCCCUGCAGUGCAAUCCAGUAGAUAGUCCGCGAACAUGCGGGCAGAGUGCACGGAUUGUUGCUGCUGUUUCUAAUAAAGUCUAUGAAGUUGGGAGGAGGAAACGAUGAGGCAGAUGGAGGAGGUGGAGAGAAGUGGUAGGCCUGAUCGGAAUUCAUUUUAUGCAUAUAUAAAAUUCUCAAACGUUAAGAACUUUAUUAUUUGGACUAUGGGCAGGUCAGAACAUCUGAACAAUAGUUUUCAUGACAACCAUCAGAACGGCCCCACUUGUAUCUGCCAGGAGACCUUCUCUACUGUCCUUGUCUCACAUCUGUCCGGAGCCCCCCUCCUCUGAGGUGUCACUGGUUAUAUUUGAUGCUCAGGUAUCAGGGAACCAAGGAACAAAACUUAGGCCAACCAUUUGUCUACCACAGCUCGCUCCUUUUAGCCAACGUGGGAAGAUUUCCACAAAUACAAGAUUAAACAUCCUCAGGCAGAAUCUCAAGGUUUGGAAUAGGAAUCUAAAGGGCCUUCGAUUGACUCCUGGGACCAUGUGGAUGCAAAACCAGAUCCUCAUUUGGAAGCGAUGCUGUGCUGUGAAGCCCACCAUGGACCAGAAGGCUGGCAGACAGGGAGACAACCUCGUCCUUAGCACUGCAGUCUGAUCUGAAAAAGCACGGAAGGUCAUUGGGGUAAUAGAUGAAAAGACGUUGUCAAUCUGAAGUAGGCGAUUCUAAUCAUAAUCUUUUCUUUAAAUCACAAUGGUCCCAAGAGAACCAGGAAAGCCGUGAGGGCCUGUGUUUCAUGCUCUCCAGCCAUCUUUGAACUUCUGUCAGUGAACGUACUUUCAUCUAGAGAAUCCAUAGAAGACGGUUGCAGAUGGAAAAAUCUAGCCCUGGGUCAUUUCAAUCGCUCACUUUGUAGAUGAUGCAAAAACCCAAUUAUACAGAUCCUUGACCUUUUUUCCUUUAGCGUUGCUUAAAGUAUUGAAAUCUCCAUCAUGAGUUAGAUUGGAGGUGUAAAAAAAGAAAGAAAAGAAAAGUCAAGCUGCCAAUCUCAAUUUCCAUUUCUCCAUUAUCCUUGCUCGCUCACCUAAUGGAACCUCCAGAGACUUCCAGAUUUUCAAAGAAAAUUGAAGAGUCAGAAGAGCACAGGAAGGAACUGGAAAUUCUGAGGGAUAGUACCAAACCAGGAAGGAGGCUGCUGGGGUCUUCACCCUCAGAAAGUGCCCACUGUCUCCUCCCAGCAAGCCUUGAUUUAGGCUGGAAUUGCAAGGAAGUAAAGAGUUUUUGUAGUUCCCAAUGA
Non-coding RNA from Rattus norvegicus (Norway rat), 2330 nucleotides. Lineage: Eukaryota; Metazoa; Chordata; Mammalia; Rodentia; Muridae. The record is from RefSeq and is a predicted model, not a curated record.